Molecule: long non-coding RNA, 702 nt
Filed under: Arabidopsis lyrata
Lineage: Eukaryota; Viridiplantae; Streptophyta; Magnoliopsida; Brassicales; Brassicaceae
Description: long non-coding RNA (ALYR_LNC000561)
Source: RNAcentral
AAUACCUCUGCCACCAUCUCACAUACAUACGUUUUCUUCCGGUACUAAGUCUUAAAUCAUAUCUCUCUUUUCCUUUAAAUACAUCGGACUAUCGGAGUCUGUUUGUUCAAUAUCUCAAAAUUUUCUUGAACUAUAAUCAUCAAUAUCAUCACCAAAUUCUGUUUUCUUUUCUCAUGGUGGCUAUAUAACCUAUUUUUCGAAGCUUGAAAGAUAUUCUUCUUUCUCCAAGUCAGGCUAGUCCUUAUUGUGUUUGUAAAUUCAAUAUGAGUAAAUAGUAAACCUGAAAGAAAGAGCAAUAGUCAAUAUCUCAAACUUUUCUUACACUAUAAUUAUCAAUAUCAUCACCAAAUUCUGUUUACACUAUAAUUAUAAACUUUUCUUUUCUUAAAAAUGAACUUUUCCUGAAUGCUCUUCUGACAAACUCUUUCUUGCGUCUUUGCUAUAUAGUUGUAUACAAAACAACUAAUGUAGUUAGAAAAUAUUUGAGAUUGAAUCUGAAUGUUUUUAGUUUUCAAAGUUUUAAUACCUGUGAAUAGAAAAAAUGAAGAAGCUAGGCAUUUUGGGUUUCUUAGGGUCACAAGACAGUAUUUUACCUUGGAGGAACUGCAAGCCAUUUUACAUUUGACCUCAUUGAUACUUUUCAGUUCUUCCAUACGCGACAUCCUUGAACUUCAUCCGGACCGCUUAAGUUUGCCUUAUUCC